Molecule: long non-coding RNA, 1529 nt
Organism: Xiphophorus couchianus (Monterrey platyfish)
Lineage: Eukaryota; Metazoa; Chordata; Actinopteri; Cyprinodontiformes; Poeciliidae
Exons: 2
Source: RefSeq, a predicted model, not a curated record
UGACAGCAGGCUGGCUGCAGCAACAGAGAACAAGUGACAGCAGGAAAAGGCUGAGAGCCACAUGGCGAAGGUGUGAAGAAGAUAAGAAGAUAAACCCUGAGAAGCGACUGGAAGCAGCAGGGAAUCAGAAACCAGGAUGAAAUCUAGAACGUUUUUCUAGGAGUCGAUUCUUCAGCUUUAGUUUUCCAGAUUAAACCACCUGCAGAUUCAUGUUUUCAUCGCUGAGUCCACAGCUUCGCAGAUGAAACUGUAGAGUUUCGUGGAAGACGGGGAGUAGAAACUGUGACGCGCCGCCUGGAGCUGACGGUCAGUCGCUGCCUGGUCGCCUGAUAAACUCCCUGUAGUUGCUGAAACUCGCGGCUGUAGUUGCUGCUCUGUGUUGCUUCCUGGACCAAAGAAAACCAGACGCUGAUUCAUUUUCGUUAAAUGAACCAAUGAAUCCUUUUCCCAACGUGAACCUCAGCAGCAACAUGAAGUGAAGCAUCAAAUUAAACUCCACAUAAACUCCCAGACCUCCAGGCUGCUGGUAGUUUAGGACCAGAUGAGGCGUCUGUGAUCAGAGCGGCUCUUGAAGCUCUACAUCUAAAAAACGUUAAACCGUCAGGAUUCAUGGGGGAGCGGUUCUGGUCUCUAACUGGACCCAAACGGGUCGGUGUUUCCAGGUAGAGAUGAAGGACGAGAACAAACUGCAGAGUCCAGAGACUGAGAGCGGUUUGAGACUGGUGAAGAUAGUUCAUGUGUUCAUCGGUGACCUUUUCAUUUUCUGCCUCUCAGAGGAGUGUCAGGCGGGUUCUGGUUCUGGACCUUGUUGACCAGGAGCAGAAUCAGAGCCAGAAAACAUCAACGUCCCGGCCAGUUCUCAUGUAGACGGUGCUGAGCUACAUCGUAGUCACGGCUACCCUCUGUUAGCUGUUUCUAUGGCAACCGGGGCGUCCAGCCAGUGACGGACAAAGAGAUGAUCAGAAAUGUUAUUCAGGCUCUGCAGGGUCAAAAGGAGCCCGUCAUUUUCUGCUGACCUGACAUUAAGGUCCAGAAGUUCUGGUUCUGACUCUACAUCUGGAUCAGGAACUUCUACAAUUCAGAGUCAAAUGUCAGUGAAUCCUAAAUGUCUGUUUAUCAAGUCAGAGGACUCCAAAGCUUGUCUCAUCCAGUCUGGAAAUGUAUAUUAUUUACACUAAAAAUUGUUUUUUGCUGACAUUUUUUUAAUUUAAAUAAAUUUCUGGUAUCAGGAAAAUAAAAGAACAAAGUUGAACAUGAACUCCGGGUCACAAAACAGAAAACUGAAGAGGGGGAAAGAUAAAGAUGUUGGGGAGACGAAGAAAAGCUUUACAAAGUGGCUGAAAGACAGAAGGUAAGAAAUGUCAGAGUAUCAACAAGAGAGUUAAAUAUUCAGAUUAGCUUAAGCUAGGCUACAAUGACAGGCGGUUGUUGUUCAAUACGGGACGCGAUUUAUUCCGUAUUGAUAUAAUGUCUGAUAGACGCACCUACCACACACACCUCAACAAUAAGUGUAAUAAUAAUGACCAAAA